UGGGCUGGUCGAAAGACCCAUGUCCAACCACUACGGAGGGGAGACUCCCC
Molecule: non-coding RNA, 50 nt
Filed under: unclassified sequences
Description: DUF3800-XI RNA
Rfam family: DUF3800-XI RNA
About the family: Actinobacteria, Firmicutes, Proteobacteria, Spirochaetes (1 example).
Source: Rfam by way of RNAcentral